This 255-nucleotide ribosomal RNA is filed under the name uncultured bacterium. Its description in RNAcentral is "partial 16S ribosomal RNA". It matches the Rfam family "Bacterial small subunit ribosomal RNA", at positions 524 to 776 of the family's 1533-position model. The record is from RNAcentral.
GACGUAGGGCGCGAGCGUUUGUCCGGAUUUAUUGGGCGUAAAGAGCUCGUAGGCGGCUUGUUGCGUCGGCUGUGAAAUCCCAUGGCUCAACUGUGGGCUUGCAGCCGAUACGGGCGGGCUAGAGUUCGGUAGGGGGAGACUGGAAUUCCUGGUGUAGCGGUGAAAUGCGCAGAUAUCAGGAGGAACACCUAUUGCGAAGGCAGCUCGCUGGGACGUUACUGACGCUGAGACGCGAAAGCGUGGGGAGCAAACAGG